UUCACACACCACCACACAACAUGGCUGAAGAAUUUCUUCACAUAAACAAAAAGACUAAAAUGGACUUUGAUGAAGAUGAACAUACCGAUGACUCCGAUAAUGACACUGACUGCUUAGUGUCUGAUUCUGAUCGGGAUUCUGACACUAUUGAAGAGGACAAAAUAAUUCUGGAAAAUAGGCGUAUUUAUCAUCAUAUUAAAUGGACAACAAGCGAUGUAAUUCAAAAGAAAUUUGAAGCAGAAAUUGGACAAUGGAAAAAAAUUACCAGAUGCCAUAUAAUCGGAAAAUUAGAAAAAGACGCAGAACUGAAAAAUGUGUGCGCUGCAGCUGAGUUAACAGUUGGGAGACUCCGUGCCUUCGUUAACAUGUUUCAAAUGACCCGACUGAAGAAGUGAUUGCAAUUUUACAGUUGCCAUGUGUUUGGCUUGAUGUAAAAGGAUUG
Long non-coding RNA from Acipenser ruthenus (sterlet), 442 nucleotides. RefSeq lists it as uncharacterized. The transcript is spliced from 3 exons. Lineage: Eukaryota; Metazoa; Chordata; Actinopteri; Acipenseriformes; Acipenseridae. The record is from RefSeq and is a predicted model, not a curated record.